GUGUUAGUGGAAGCGUCUGGAAAGGCGCGCGAUACAGGGUGACAGCCCCGUACACAAAAAUGCACAUACUGUGAGCUCGAUGAGUAGGGCGGGACACGUGGUAUCCUGUCUGAAUAUGGGGGGACCAUCCUCCAAGGCUAAAUACUCCUGACUGACCGAUAGUGAACCAGUACCGUGAGGGAAAGGCGAAAAGAACCCCGGCGAGGGGAGUGAAAAAGAACCUGAAACCGUGUACGUACAAGCAGUGGGAGCACGCUUCGGCGUGUGACUGCGUACCUUUUGUAUAAUGGGUCAGCGACUUAUAUUCUGUAGCAAGGUUAACCGAAUAGGGGAGCCGAAGGGAAACCGAGUCUUAACUGGGCGUUAAGUUGCAGGGUAUAGACCCGAAACCCGGUGAUCUAGCCAUGGGCAGGUUGAAGGUUGGGUAACACUAACUGGAGGACCGAACCGACUAAUGUUGAAAAAUUAGCGGAUGACUUGUGGCUGGGGGUGAAAGGCCAAUCAAACCGGGAGAUAGCUGGUUCUCCCCGAAAGCUAUUUAGGUAGCGCCUCGUGAAUUCAUCUCCGGGGGUAGAGCACUGUUUCGGCAAGGGGGUCAUCCCGACUUACCAACCCGAUGCAAACUGCGAAUACCGGAGAAUGUUAUCACGGGAGACACACGGCGGGUGCUAACGUCCGUCGUGAAGAGGGAAACAACCCAGACCGCCAGCUAAGGUCCCAAAGUCAUGGUUAAGUGGGAAACGAUGUGGGAAGGCCCAGACAGCCAGGAUGUUGGCUUAGAAGCAGCCAUCAUUUAAAGAAAGCGUAAUAGCUCACUGGUCGAGUCGGCCUGCGCGGAAGAUGUAACGGGGCUAAACCAUGCACCGAAGCUGCGGCAGCGACACUAUGUGUUGUUGGGUAGGGGAGCGU
This 909-nucleotide ribosomal RNA is filed under the name Escherichia coli. Its description in RNAcentral is "partial 23S ribosomal RNA". It matches the Rfam family "Bacterial large subunit ribosomal RNA", at positions 326 to 1239 of the family's 2925-position model. The record is from RNAcentral. Lineage: Bacteria; Pseudomonadati; Pseudomonadota; Gammaproteobacteria; Enterobacterales; Enterobacteriaceae.